CCUCUGCUAGACUCCCCGUUGCUCAGCUGAUCCGUGCAAUGAUGCUUGUGGGCGCCCCCCCGGUCGUCUCCCUCGAACUUCCUCAUCAGAAAGCUGACAUCCGGCUCUAUCACGAUGGCCUUCUUAUGGAGCUAGAUCAGCUUCAGCAGCUGCUUCAUCUUGUCUUCGUCGUACUCGUUCUGGGACAGGCGCAGCCUGUGGGGGGGGGUGAGCGGCGGCAGCGGUUGGGGCUCCGCCGCGGGGGCCUCGGGCUGCGCCUGGGCCCCGUUGAAAUGGGCCGCCCCCUGCUUCUCCGCCGCCGCCCUCUCCUUGGGGGGCCUCUCGGCGCGGUCCGAGCCGCGGUCCGAGCCGCCCCAGUCGGACACGGGGCUGUACUCCACCGGGGGCGGGGCCGAGGGCAGGGCCGGGGGCGGAGCCGGCGCGGGGUUCCGUAUCCUGUCGACGACCUCCUUGGCCUUGCUCAGAGGUAAGACGUAGUUGCCGGGGUUGUGCACGUACGAGCGCAGCGCGGCGUCCAUGUUGCACUUGGGUCGGUGCACCAGGAGCGAGUUGGUCCUGUCGUCCACGUUGUUCUAGUACUCGGGGAGGACGAACGGCCGCACCGUGCCCGCGUCCAUGCGGGUCAGGUAGUCGGCGGCCUGCCGCUCCACCCCCAGGCUCGGGUCCUUGCCCGGGUUGGGCCGCAGCUUGAAGAGCGCGUAGUGCAGCGCCGGGACGAAGGGGUCCCCGGAGGGCAGGGCGGCCGGCUGGGGCUCCGCCUCGAAGACACGGGACACUGGAGAGAGAGGGCGCGGGGGGCGGGGGGGGGGGGACGGACGAACGUUAAUGUCAGCAUUAGAAUAGAUAUCAUUCCACUACUCGGGUAUUAACAAGGAGGCCAAUUAAACUCUGAUGUAGGUGUGAAAGGAACAAAAAACAGGUCAGUAGGUCGAGGUGAGAAACAGUCCCGAGCUUGGCGGGGGGGCUCCUAGGGGCCCGACAAAGAAAUAACACUUACGACACUUGACAACCGUCCUCGCCUCCUGAAAGAUGAACAACGCUUGCAGGUUCUUCUCGACUCGCCCCCGCCGCUCUGCAAAACACA
Gasterosteus aculeatus aculeatus (three-spined stickleback) is the source of this 1084-nucleotide long non-coding RNA. NCBI's taxonomy places the organism in Eukaryota, Metazoa, Chordata, Actinopteri, Perciformes, Gasterosteidae. The record is from Ensembl.